GACGAACGCUGGCGGCGUGCCUAAUACAUGCAAGUAGAACGCUGAAGAGAGGAGCUUGCUCUUCUUGGAUGAGUUGCGAACGGGUGAGUAACGCGUAGGUAACCUGCCUUGUAGCGGGGGAUAACUAUUGGAAACGAUAGCUAAUACCGCAUAACAAUGGAUGACACAUGUCAUUUAUUUGAAAGGGGCAAUUGCUCCACUACAAGAUGGACCUGCGUUGUAUUAGCUAGUAGGUGAGGUAAUGGCUCACCUAGGCGACGAUACAUAGCCGACCUGAGAGGGUGAUCGGCCACACUGGGACUGAGACACGGCCCAGACUCCUACGGGAGGCAGCAGUAGGGAAUCUUCGGCAAUGGGGGCAACCCUGACCGAGCAACGCCGCGUGAGUGAAGAAGGUUUUCGGAUCGUAAAGCUCUGUUGUAAGUCAAGAACGGGUGUGAGAGUGGAAAGUUCACACUGUGACGGUAGCUUACCAGAAAGGGACGGCUAACUACGUGCCAGCAGCCGCGGUAAUACGUAGGUCCCGAGCGUUGUCCGGAUUUAUUGGGCGUAAAGCGAGCGCAGGCGGUUUGAUAAGUCUGAAGUUAAAGGCUGUGGCCCAACCAUAGUUCGCUUUGGAAACUGUCAAACUUGAGUGCAGAAGGGGAGAGUGGAAUUCCAUGUGUAGCGGUGAAAUGCGUAGAUAUAUGGAGGAACACCGGUGGCGAAAGCGGCUCUCUGGUCUGUAACUGACGCUGAGGCUCGAAAGCGUGGGGAGCGAACAGGAUUAGAUACCCUGGUAGUCCACGCCGUAAACGAUGAGUGCUAGGUGUUGGAUCCUUUCCGGGAUUCAGUGCCGCAGCUAACGCAUUAAGCACUCCGCCUGGGGAGUACGACCGCAAGGUUGAAACUCAAAGGAAUUGACGGGGGCCCGCACAAGCGGUGGAGCAUGUGGUUUAAUUCGAAGCAACGCGAAGAACCUUACCAGGUCUUGACAUCCCGAUGCUAUUUCUAGAGAUAGAAAGUUACUUCGGUACAUCGGUGACAGGUGGUGCAUGGUUGUCGUCAGCUCGUGUCGUGAGAUGUUGGGUUAAGUCCCGCAACGAGCGCAACCCCUAUUGUUAGUUGCCAUCAUUCAGUUGGGCACUCUAGCGAGACUGCCGGUAAUAAACCGGAGGAAGGUGGGGAUGACGUCAAAUCAUCAUGCCCCUUAUGACCUGGGUUACACACGUGCUACAAUGGUUGGUACAACGAGUUGCGAGUCGGUGACGGCGAGCUAAUCUCUUAAAGCCAAUCUCAGUUCGGAUUGUAGGCUGCAACUCGCCUACAUGAAGUCGGAAUCGCUAGUAAUCGCGGAUCAGCACGCCGCGGUGAAUACGUUCCCGGGCCU
Molecule: ribosomal RNA, 1369 nt
Filed under: uncultured bacterium
Lineage: Bacteria
Description: bacterial SSU rRNA
Rfam family: Bacterial small subunit ribosomal RNA
Source: RNAcentral